AUGGAUGUCAAACUUGGGAAUGAUCCUCGGAGAGAUGAAGUUUAUAUCGAAACACAUACAUGCAAGAAAGGGGAAAGGAAAGGGAGUUAUGUGCCGCAGGCAGCAGCAACAAUUAAAGAACUCAUAGAGAGUGCUGAAAAGCACCCUGAAUGGAAGGAUAAAAGCAUUAAAGAAGGCGAUUUGUUUGUACGUGUAUGUGGACUGAAGGAGCCCAGGGGUCGUGUCCGUGUGUUAGGUCUAGGGCCAACACCUCAAGAUUUGGGCACACCGGGUACAUGGGGUAAACUGAGCACAAGAGUUCUAGUUGCAAUGGAAGGGCGGUGA
This 324-nucleotide ribosomal RNA is filed under the name Triticum aestivum (bread wheat). RNAcentral's name for it is "partial small subunit ribosomal RNA". The record is from RNAcentral. Lineage: Eukaryota; Viridiplantae; Streptophyta; Magnoliopsida; Poales; Poaceae.